AAAGGAACAAAUUACUUUUUGGAAAGAGAAGGAAAGCGAACAAAGAAGACUAGACAACACUUGGAGACAUGGAAACUUUGCUGAUAGUCAAAUAGCUCCAUUAGCUUAAUAUGAUAUUCCCUUUCAUAUUUUAUACUCAAAGCAGGAAGAAGAAACCAUUGGCCUUCCUGCUGUUAAAGAAUUAUAACUCUCUGUAUCCUUAAGCAUUGGUCAAAUUGAUUCCUGAAAGCCCCAGCCUGGAAAGAGGAAAGAAUUCUGAAUGCAUUGUGCUGCAGAAGAAGAUUCUUUUUGAGAGAUUCCAGAUGAUAAAAGAAAAGAAGAUAUUUGUACUGAUGGUAACUUUCAAUCUACAAGGAAGCAUACUUGAUUUCCUUAUAAAGGGGACCAGAAGCAUGGCAAAAGAGUUCUUGGGAGCCCUCAAUAUUCCAUACAUUUGAUUAAGAUGUUAUUGGCUGAUCAUUCCCUGCAAUAUAAAGCUAUAUUUCUUGCUUACUUUCAAAUCAACGCUACAGGACAAUUAUCCACCUAACACAUGUAGAUUUUGUCAUGGCCAUUCAUUGUUCAUAAUAGCUUGCUUCCAAUCAGCUCAGAAUCAGUCAUUUCCUCCUGCCAGUGAAGAUUUUUAGUUGUUUUUUUUUCAGAUAACUUUUAAUUCCUAGUAACACAAGCAUGUUCAUUAGUUUUUUUUCCAAUGACAAUUUAUUUCUGGAGAAACCAUCAUAUUACGAAGAGGGUGCAGAUAAUUUGUACUUACUUUUGCUAUAUGGGGCCUUCCAAGCUUUUUAUGAUUCAAUUAAAUUCCAAAGGAGGGUUUAUGAGUUCCUCCCCCUACCCUUCUUGCUCCAUUUGUUAAGAACAUGUCCUCAUGGUGGAACCUCCAUCAAAGAAAGAGACUGAAGUCAAUCAAGGACAAAACUAGUGUUUUUCAUUGGAAAGAAGGAAUAUGCCUUCCCCUGUAUGAUCAUUCUAUGUCGUAUGGAAGAGGGCAAGAAGCAAUAUUGCCAUUUGUAGUGUUUCAGCUGAUCCACUGCGAAACCACACUCUCCCAUCUGACUAUGUGACACUAUGCCACAAUGAUUAUUUCUAUUUUGUCUGGUGGAGGAACAGAACCUCACUUAGCAACCAAGGUUGUUGUUAUUUUUUUGUCGGGACACUAUCAACUUUGUGGAACAUUUUCCUGGAAAUUGAUAUUUCCAUUAGUAUGUGUGUGCGUACAUGUGGAUAUGUGGAAAUAUGCCACAAAAGAAAUUCUAGAGAAAUUCUGCAAAUAAGGGAAUUAGGGAAAAAAACUCAUCACUUAUCCCAGUGUUAAUUAUUUUCACUGGUUUCAUAUCACAGAAGAAAUGGUUAUGUUGCACCAUAAUUCUCAUAAUGUAUACAAUAUUUACAUACAACAAACACAAUGAUACAAUUAACAUGUUUAGUCUUCAUUUUCAAAAUCAGAGCUGCAAUUAAAGAAGUGUUUAAAAAAGACUUUUCUGCUGUAUAUUU
This is a long non-coding RNA of Crotalus tigris (Tiger rattlesnake), 1491 nucleotides long. RefSeq lists it as uncharacterized. The transcript has 3 exons. The record is from RefSeq and is a predicted model, not a curated record. Lineage: Eukaryota; Metazoa; Chordata; Lepidosauria; Squamata; Viperidae.